AGAAUCAACGCUGGCGGCGUGCCUAACACAUGCAAGUCGCACGAGAAAGGGUAGCAAUACCUGAGUACAGUGGCGCACGGGUGAGUAACACGUGACUAACCUACCCUCGAGUGGGGAAUAACCUAGGGAAACCUGGGCUAAUACCGCAUAACACUUACGAGUCAAAGCAGCAAUGCGCUUGGGGAGGGGGUCGCGGCCGAUUAGCUAGUUGGCGGGGUAAUGGCCCACCAAGGCAAUGAUCGGUAUCCGGCCUGAGAGGGCGCACGGACACACUGGAACUGAAACACGGUCCAGACUCCUACGGGAGGCAGCAGUGGGGAAUUUUGCGCAAUGGGGGAAACCCUGACGCAGCAACGCCGCGUGGAGGAUGAAGUCUCUUGGGACGUAAACUCCUUUCGAUUGGGAAGAUAAUGACGGUACCAAUAGAAGAAGCCCCGGCUAACUUCGCGCCAGCAGCCGC
RNAcentral lists this ribosomal RNA (460 nucleotides) under uncultured bacterium. RNAcentral's name for it is "SSU rRNA". It matches the Rfam family "Bacterial small subunit ribosomal RNA", at positions 26 to 518 of the family's 1533-position model. The record is from RNAcentral.